This 484-nucleotide ribosomal RNA is filed under the name uncultured bacterium. Its description in RNAcentral is "partial 16S ribosomal RNA". It matches the Rfam family "Bacterial small subunit ribosomal RNA", at positions 30 to 507 of the family's 1533-position model. The record is from RNAcentral.
AUUGAACGCUGGCGGCAGGCCUAACACAUGCAAGUCGAGCGGAUGAAGGGAGCUUGCUCCUGGAUUCAGCGGCGGACGGGUGAGUAAUGCCUAGGAAUCUGCCUGGUAGUGGGGGAUAACGUCCGGAAACGGGCGCUAAUACCGCAUACGUCCUGAGGGAGAAAGUGGGGGAUCUUCGGACCUCACGCUAUCAGAUGAGCCUAGGUCGGAUUAGCUAGUUGGUGGGGUAAAGGCCUACCAAGGCGACGAUCCGUAACUGGUCUGAGAGGAUGAUCAGUCACACUGGAACUGAGACACGGUCCAGACUCCUACGGGAGGCAGCAAUGGGGAAUAUUGGACAAUGGGCGAAAGCCUGAUCCAGCCAUGCCGCGUGUGUGAAGAAGGUCUUCGGAUUUUAAAGCACUUUAAGUUGGGAGGAAGGGCAGUAAGUUAAUACCUUGCUGUUUUGACGUUACCAACAGAAUAAGCACCGGCUAACUUCGUG